UACGUAGGGUGCGAGCGUUGUCCGGAAUUAUUGGGCGUAAAGAGCUCGUAGGCGGUUCCGUAAGUCGGGUGUGAAAAAUCUGGGCUCAACCCAGUGGAGCACCCGAUACUGCGGUGACUGGAGUCCGGUAGGGGAGUGUGGAAUUCCUGGUGUAGCGGUGAAAUGCGCAGAUAUCAGGAGGAACACCGACGGCGAAGGCAGCACUCUGGGCCGGUACUGACGCUGAGGAGCGAAAGCAUGGGGAGCGAACAGG
RNAcentral lists this ribosomal RNA (253 nucleotides) under uncultured bacterium. Its description in RNAcentral is "partial 16S ribosomal RNA". It matches the Rfam family "Bacterial small subunit ribosomal RNA", at positions 524 to 776 of the family's 1533-position model. The record is from RNAcentral.